Molecule: ribosomal RNA, 285 nt
Filed under: uncultured eukaryote
Lineage: Eukaryota
Description: partial 18S ribosomal RNA
Rfam family: Eukaryotic small subunit ribosomal RNA
Source: RNAcentral
GGUUGAUCCUGCCAGUAGUCAUAUGCUUGUCUCAAAGAUUAAGCCAUGCAUGUCUAAGUAUAAAUAAAUUUAUAUUGUGAAACUGCGAAUGGCUCAUUAAAUCAGUUAUGAUCUACGUGACAUAUUCUUUACUACUUGGAUAACCGUGGUAAUUCUAGAGCUAAUACAUGCAAAAAAACCCUGACUUCGGAAGGGGUGCACUUAUUAGAUAAAACCAACGCGGGGUAAAACCUGUUUUCUUGGUGAUUCAUAAUAAUUAAGCGGAUCGCAUGGCCUUGUGCUAGC